This is a long non-coding RNA of Esox lucius (northern pike), 2579 nucleotides long. Lineage: Eukaryota; Metazoa; Chordata; Actinopteri; Esociformes; Esocidae. The record is from Ensembl.
CACAGGCAAUAAUAAUCGUAAUAGUGCACUUUAUUAUUUUCAUUUAUAAUACAGACAUUUUUUAUUUAAUCAUCGUCAUCAUUUUGUUUUUCCCCUACAUUUCUGAUUUCAAUUUUUAAGAAAUGUUUUGAUCUACUGUGUGUGAAGGGGAGGGGGAGUUAUAGUUUUACAAUCAUAACUGGAAUGGUUGAUAACGAUGACAACAAUAAUCAUAUUGUGAGUACAGAGUGGAUAAAGAAUCAAGAUAUGGUUUAAAAUGUAUACACUGGACAGAAACAUGGGGAGGGUGAUGAUUAUAUGGGGUUGGUAUGGGGAAUGGGCAGAGGGGUUGAGGUAUACCUGGAUGAGAAGAGAUGUAAAGAGAGAAUUAUGGUGGGGAUAGGAGGGGAGUAAGUUGGUAUUUUCGUUUUAAGACUCACCCACAAUGGUGACAAAACACCCCCUCCCCCAUCCCCUCCCAUUGUUUACCUCAACCAAUUCCUUUGAGGUCUUAAAGGGGUUUCGUUCUAGUGUCUCCUGACAGAAUUUCCCUCUUUGUUUUCUUUCCGGGUAGGGCAAGGUGGGGCAUCUAGCCACAUACUAACAGAAACAUCCCAGUCCUCUGGCCUCAAUCAGUGCCAACUGAAUCUAAAACUUAGCACACUGCUAACGUUAUGCCUAGAGCCUAAAUCAUCGUCCACAGACGCAGAGACGCGGAAUAUUGCGUUUGUGAAAUAGCUACAGUACACGGCUUGGAAACCAUACAUAAGGGCCACACAGCCGCACGCACAUCCCAACAUUCUCCAACCGAUAUGUCGCCUUUACAAGUCUUUUAUUCAUUUGUAUUUGAAAAAGUAUGAAAGCCAACUGUCCAAAAUUCUAGUACAUUGCUGUGCAAGCAUCUUAGCAUUUGUUUUGUUUUCAGAACUCUUUAAGAUAUAUAUCAAAUGUUGAUCUUUUGGCUAUUUUUAGUGAGAAACAUUGAAGAGACAGUGGGGUCUUAUGCCAAACUGUUCUGUCAUAUCUCACUCCAAUUCAAAUGACCCCUGACCUAGCAUUUAAAUGUGGCCGGGCAAGGAUGAGUACUCUUAGUCGUGGACAUGUAAACUCAACACAGACAUGGGACACACACACACACACACACACACAGACAGGACGAGCAAACAUAACAGGCAUGUACCACCCUCCUGAUGCAUUAUCUUGUGUCCUAGCUUGUUCUUGAGUUGUCUCUUCCCACUACUGAUCUGUGAAACACAGAUGCAACCUAUAGUCAUGCUGUUCACUGUCAUCCUUCCCUCUGGGUCCAUGUUACUUCCCAGCUGUGUCAUGCAGAACUUCACAGACCAUGAGCUUUUGGAGUCUGUCCACCAGAUCCAAAGCAAAACUGCAUUGCACUAUUUAUACUACAUAGCCAAGCAGAACUUGACCAGCCUGGUGACACAACUGUCAAAGUUCCUGGAACCAUGUUGGAAAAGAAAAACAUCCAAACCAGCACAGAGUGGUGGUUUUGGGUCGCUCCCGCAGUGUGAAAAGGGGAACAGGAUUGCUCCUGCAAUAGGUUCCAAGCUAGAGUGAGAGUUUAGCUACAGCCACCAAUUAACUAUAGUCAUGUUGCUUUGUCCCAAGCAUAGAAGCAGAGAGGAUUCCGUCCCUCUCUUAUUCCAUAUGAACAGUACAGCCAUUAUGGACAGAGACAGAGUAUGCAAAGUAGUCAGACAAACAAUGACAAAGAUAUUGCACUAGAGGUCUCCUAGAUACAGAAUGACUCUGUUUGCCACUCGGGCAGAUUUGGGUCACGGUAACAGGUGUUGACUUUGGUAUGAAGUGGGAUGAUGGCUGGCAGGGAUGUAUGGUGCUGCUCUGAGUCUUAUUUGCUGUGGUCACGGCAGGGUGAAGUGGGGUGACACUGACUAUAUGUGCUAAAUGGCAGUGGCAUGAAACAACAAGACGUCAUAAAUGAGGGUCUGGAGAGCGACUAGAACAAAACCUGCUUUUGCUUUUAACACUCUGUGCAGGAGGUACAGGGUUGGUCAGUACGGGGGCCGUGCCAAGGACAGGGUGAGGGCUAGGACGGCAUGGCAGUAACCAGGGACGCAUGGGUAGGAGGAAACUAGUUGAUUUGUUUUGUUUACAGCUCCCUUUUAGGACAGUGCAUUCCAGUUUUAAUAGUUUGUUUUUUCUAGACAUGAUUCUGUUGUAUGUUACUGACUGUGGGAUUCUGUUUUUGGGAGGGCCUGUGUGUGUCUGUGCGUUGGUGUUAAUACUGCUCGUGUUCUGCAAGUGGGGUGGUACCCCACACACACUAAUUCAGGGUAUUUAUGUGCCCAGAUGUUUGUACACUUUAGGAACAUUCUAGCAGAAUACAAGAGGAAGGGAACUGGAGAUGAAAACCCCCAUCCUUUGCUCCUCUCGUCUGCUUUUUCAAGUGUCUAUGAGCUCAUUAUUUAUUUCAUGGAGGAUUUCCUUAUUUUUCUGCCUCUUAGAAAUUCCCAGAAAUCUAUCCAUAUAUAUCCUUUUUUUGUUCUUUUCAUUUAGUUUCUUUAAAUGUGAAAUCAUCUUCAUUAUACCAAACAAAGACAAAUGAACAAAAAAGACGGAAC